RNAcentral lists this non-coding RNA (23 nucleotides) under Arabidopsis thaliana (thale cress). The record is from RNAcentral. Lineage: Eukaryota; Viridiplantae; Streptophyta; Magnoliopsida; Brassicales; Brassicaceae.
AACGUUUGUGUAACUGUUUUGUG